UGGGGAAUAUUGGACAAUGGGGGAAACCCUGAUCCAGCAAUGCCGCGUGAGUGAUGAAGGCCUUAGGGUUGUAAAGCUCUUUUACCAGGGAUGAUAAUGACAGUACCUGGAGAAUAAGCUCCGGCUAACUCCGUGCCAGCAGCCGCGGUAAUACGGAGGGAGCUAGCGUUGUUCGGAAUUACUGGGCGUAAAGCGCGCGUAGGCGGCUAUUCAAGUCAGGGGUGAAAUCCCGGGGCUCAACCCCGGAACUGCCCUUGAAACUGGCAAGCUAGAGGAUGUGAGAGGAUAGUGGAAUUCCGAGUGUAGAGGUGAAAUUCGUAGAUGUUCGGAAGAACACCAGUGGCGAAGGCGACUGACUGGCACAUUUCUGACGCUGAGGUGCGAAAGCGUGGGGAGCAAACAGGAUUAGAUACCCCCGUAGUCC
This 424-nucleotide ribosomal RNA is filed under the name uncultured prokaryote. RNAcentral describes it as "bacterial SSU rRNA". It matches the Rfam family "Bacterial small subunit ribosomal RNA", at positions 355 to 796 of the family's 1533-position model. The record is from RNAcentral.